This is a long non-coding RNA of Malus domestica (apple), 1751 nucleotides long. RefSeq lists it as uncharacterized. The record is from RefSeq and is a predicted model, not a curated record. NCBI's taxonomy places the organism in Eukaryota, Viridiplantae, Streptophyta, Magnoliopsida, Rosales, Rosaceae.
UAUAUAUAUAUAUUAGAUUUUCAUGAGAGGUAUUAGCAAACUUCUUUUGCUGCAAAUCGCAGAGCACAUGAACUUUGUUAUGAUGGGAAUGUUUCAAUUAUUUUCAUAUUUCUACAUCUCCAAAGUCAUUGAAUCUGCCCAUAUGCAUUCAGAAAAUGCUUUUGACCAGCCAAUGGACUGGAAUUCCCAUAUGUUUAUUUAAGUUAACAAGUUAAUUUGAAAUCAAAUCAACAAUUAGCAAUCCUUUUGUAGCCAUUGAAGUUGUAAGCAUGUGAAAACAUAAUCAAAAUCUUUGUGUACUAAACAAAUUGAUUGCCAAUUUUGUAGAUGUCUCACCUCAUUAGAACUCGGAGGCCGAUGACUUCUACACCUAGUCUGACGACUAUACCUACUACUGCUGCCACUGCUCCGACAGAGAUGGACCAUAGGCCGGUCAAUCCGGUUCACUCAGAUGGUCCUCCAGUUCCACAGGCAUAGACAUCGUCAACUUCUUCGGUGGCGUUACCUAUUAACGCCAGACGAACUCAUCGACGCCCCCGCACUGUGGAACAGAUGUCGCCAUCGGGAUCCCUAACCGAUGCCUUCGGUACAUGGUCAGCGAAGAAACACACCCGGGGACCUUGUCAGCAAUUGAAGACGGGGAAGGUCACCCGGGUGACCAACGGUCGUAUCCUAAUCGGAUACGUUAAGCGACAUCGGGCAGCACUAACGGCGAACUAACAUAGUGCAUUGGCCCAUGACAUUGGGCAUGUUGUGCGGACCUUUUGCCCUAUGCUGUGGAAGUCUUGGAAGGCGAUGAUGGAGGAGACGAAGAUUAUGGUGCGCAAUCAAUUGUCCACAAACUACAAUUUGGAGCACAUGGACGAGGACAAGUUCGCAUAUGUCAAUCGGCUCUUCUCCGAACGCUACAAGCAGUGGAAGAGUGACUUGCACCAAUGGUUUUAGGAGUUUGAUGAUCCGUAGGUCGCUCUUGAGGAGGGAUGUCCGAAGAAGUUGGAGGACCGACAAGAUAGUUGGGUUUGGCUUUGCGGUUAUUUUAAGGACCCGACAUAUGUGAAGAAGGCGAAGGCGAACAGGAUCAAUCGAGAGAAAAAGACUCUUCUCCAUCAUUCGGGUUCGAGGCCUUUCUCCUAUAGGAUGGAGGAGGGUUCAAAAUUUCCGAAGAUUGAUGUCUUUGCUGACGUUUAUGUUCGGCCUAGGAAUGAGUUAACCCAGUCUCUUCAUAUAAGCAACUAUGGUGGAGAAGCGACAAGUGGUGCUUCAGGAGUUUGCCUCCCACCUUCCCUCGGACACGUCGAUCGAGUCUAUGGAUCCCCCUGAGAAUGCAGGGUUUCACAUCGUCACAGAGACGUUGGACCAAACUUUCGGUCAAAGGCCAGGGACAUAUUGUCGGGGGAUGAGAAAUGCCAGGCGUCGGGAAACUGGAGCCUCAUCAUCCUCGUAGUUAAAGACCAAGGUUACGACUUUGACGCAGGAAGUCGCUGGGCUAAGGAGUGAGCUAGCAUCGUUCAAGUCUCAAAUGUCAAUGCUUGUACAAGCCCUCAGUUCCUCUGGAAUACAUCUCCCCGGUUUUUCUACACCAUCGCCCUCACAGCCCUUCCACACCGAGCAAGCACAACAAUCAGGCCCGUUGACCUCCGACCCUGUCCCCAACCAGCAGCAAGAUUACCAAGCACCUCUGAAUGACAUGCCUAUAGAUUUUGCCUCUUUAUUUUUGUAGUUUUGUUCCGUUUUUUUUACUUUAUAUUUGU